UACGAAGGGGGCUAGCGUUACUCGGAAUUACUGGGCGUAAAGGGCGCGUAGGCGGCUUGGCCAGUCAGGCGUGAAAUUCCUGGGCUUAACCUGGGGACUGCGCUUGAUACUGCCAGGCUUGAGGCCGAGAGAGGGUGGUGGAAUUCCCAGUGUAGAGGUGAAAUUCGUAGAUAUUGGGAAGAACACCGGUGGCGAAGGCGGUCACCUGGUCCGGUACUGACGCUGAGGUGCGAAAGCGUGGGGAGCAAACAGG
Molecule: ribosomal RNA, 253 nt
Filed under: uncultured bacterium
Lineage: Bacteria
Description: partial 16S ribosomal RNA
Rfam family: Bacterial small subunit ribosomal RNA
Source: RNAcentral